Molecule: non-coding RNA, 30 nt
Filed under: Rattus norvegicus (Norway rat)
Lineage: Eukaryota; Metazoa; Chordata; Mammalia; Rodentia; Muridae
Source: RNAcentral
UCUUAAUGUCUUGAUCACUGAAAAGGUCUC